UGGGAAAAUAGACGCAUUUAAUAUUAGAAGCAUCAGAAAAAAAGGAAAACAACACAUUUUUUCCCCCUAGAACUACACAGGGAGGUGGGGGAGGAAGAUGGGGAAAUAGAAGGAGAAACUGACUAAGGACCUUGUUUGGGGGAGAUAAAAGGUAUAAAGGACACAGAGGUAAAGACGUUCCGGAAAGCUCUAGAGGAGCCGCCCUCUCCUGUCUCGUCACCAUUUUUAAAGGGAUCUGAUCCUCGCAAUAGCUCUUGGUAUAUGCUGGAGGUAAUUGCCUAGAUUUCCCGCGUUCCUGUCCUCUGCGAGUCUCUGGCUUGUGACAGCCACUGUGACUCUUCUGAUGCACUUGUCAGCUAGAGGACCGCGUGAGAUGCAAACACAAAAUCAAGGGGCGCCUAAUGUCUGACGAGGCGCAUUCCUGGGCGCAGUGGGAGCCUCGACCUUUGUGGAGGAGAAUGUGCAAAGCACUCUUGAGCAGUUCUCAUAGACACUUGGUCUCUGCAGAUUCGGCUCAAAGGAGACUAGUCAUCCAGGACGCAAAAGAUGAA
This 551-nucleotide long non-coding RNA is filed under the name Homo sapiens (human). RNAcentral's name for it is "HSALNT0240227". The record is from RNAcentral. Lineage: Eukaryota; Metazoa; Chordata; Mammalia; Primates; Hominidae.